Long non-coding RNA from Mirounga angustirostris (Northern elephant seal), 413 nucleotides. RefSeq lists it as uncharacterized. The record is from RefSeq and is a predicted model, not a curated record. NCBI's taxonomy places the organism in Eukaryota, Metazoa, Chordata, Mammalia, Carnivora, Phocidae. The transcript is spliced from 3 exons.
UGAUCAAGUACUCUUUCCCAGGUUCCAAGCGAAGGCGGCAAGAGGCUCGAACCAGGAAGUUGCGGGUCUGACGGACGGUGGCCUUGGUGUCCUUGGCUGAGAGGAUAAGGGGCACAGGAGUUGUCAGAGGCGAAUGGAAGCCCCACCGGCCCAUCCGUUCCCUUCAUACUGAAGUGCAGAACUUGGGUGAUUCUGGUCUCGAAGAGACGGAAGGCAGCUCUGCCAUCUUCUCGAAGGACCUUCACCUGGAAGCCUACGAGGGCGUUUAAGAGAAGGGAGCACGGAGGCGUAGUCCCUGGCCCUGGCUCUCCGGUCCUCUGCACUCCCCUGAGGAGGUCUCAACCGCUCCUUGGCUUUCACCAAACCCUUCCAGGCUGAUGAUUAUUAAACUAUUAAAUUAGAUGUUGAGAUUA